CCUACGGGUGGCAGCAGUGAGGAAUAUUGGUCAAUGGGCGGGAGCCUGAACCAGCCAAGCCGCGUGAAGGAAGAAGGCGCCAGGCGUCGUAAACUUCUUUUGUCGGGGAACAAAGGGCGCCACGCGUGGCGUUGUGAGUGUACCCGAAGAAAAAGCAUCGGCUAACUCCGUGCCAGCAGCCGCGGUAAUACGGAGGAUGCGAGCGUUAUCCGGAUUUAUUGGGUUUAAAGGGUGCGUAGGCGGAAGGUUAAGUCAGCGGUCAAAUGUCGGUGCUCAACACCGGCCUGCCGUUGAAACUGGUCUUCUUGAGUGAGCGAGAAGUAUGCGGAAUGCGUGGUGUAGCGGUGAAAUGCAUAGAUAUCACGCAGAACUCCGAUUGCGAAGGCAGCAUACCGGCGCUCAACUGACGCUGAGGCACGAAAGCGUGGGGAUCGAACAGGAUUAGAUACCCGAGUAGUC
RNAcentral lists this ribosomal RNA (459 nucleotides) under uncultured bacterium. Its description in RNAcentral is "partial 16S ribosomal RNA". It matches the Rfam family "Bacterial small subunit ribosomal RNA", at positions 338 to 795 of the family's 1533-position model. The record is from RNAcentral.